Molecule: long non-coding RNA, 635 nt
Filed under: Volvox carteri
Lineage: Eukaryota; Viridiplantae; Chlorophyta; Chlorophyceae; Chlamydomonadales; Volvocaceae
Description: long non-coding RNA (VCAR_LNC001347)
Source: RNAcentral
CCGUGGGUGCCUCAGCCAGCCCAUGGCAGAGUAAUAUCUGCCCGUGUAACCCGUGAUAACAGGGUCUUCACCCCUAAUUGUACGUGUAAUUGGUUACAUGCGCCCAUAAUUCACCUGCAGCACCGCGUAAUAUCCACCCGUAAUCACUGGGUAUUCACCCGUAAUUGUGCGCGUAAUUGGUUACAUGCGCCCGUAAUUCACCUGCAGCACCGCGUAAUAUCCACCCGUAGUCACUGGGUAUUCACCCAUAAUUGUGCGCGUAAUUGGUUACAUGCGCCCGUAAUUCACCUGCAGCACCGCGUAAUAUCCACCCGUAAUCACUGGGUAUUCACCCAUAAUUGUGCGUGUAAUUGGUUACAUGCGCCCGUAAUUCACCUGCAGCGCUGCACCGCGUAAUAUCCACCCGUAAUCACUGGGUAUUCACCUGUAAUUGUGCGCGUAUUUGGUUACAUGCGCCUGUAAUUCACCUGCAGCACUGCGUAAUAUCCACCCGUAAUCACUGGGUCUUCACCCGUAAUUGUGCACGUAAUUGGUUACAUGCGCCCGUAAUUCACCUGCAGCACCGCGUAAUAUCCACCCGUAAUUCCGGGGUAGUCGCCCGUAAAUGUUCACCCGUAUCCUUGUGCUCAAAUUAC